UAGUGGCGAACGGGUGAGUAACACGUGGGCAAUCUGCCCUUCACUCUGGGACAAGCCCUGGAAACGGGGUCUAAUACCGGAUAACACUCUGUCCCGCAUGGGACGGGGUUGAAAGCUCCGGCGGUGAAGGAUGAGCCCGCGGCCUAUCAGCUUGUUGGUGGGGUGAUGGCCUACCAAGGCGACGACGGGUAGCCGGCCUGAGAGGGCGACCGGCCACACUGGGACUGAGACACGGCCCAGACUCCUACGGGAGGCAGCAGUGGGGAAUAUUGCACAAUGGGCGAAAGCCUGAUGCAGCGACGCCGCGUGAGGGAUGACGGCCUUCGGGUUGUAAACCUCUUUCAGCAGGGAAGAAGCGAGAGUGACGGUACCUGCAGAAGAAGCGCCGGCUAACUACGUGCCAGCAGCCGCGGUAAUACGUAGGGCGCAAGCGUUGUCCGGAAUUAUUGGGCGUAAAGAGCUCGUAGGCGGCUUGUCACGUCGGAUGUGAAAGCCCGGGGCUUAACCCCGGGUCUGCAUUCGAUACGGGCAGGCUAGAGUGUGGNAGGNGAGAUCGNAAUUCCU
RNAcentral lists this ribosomal RNA (564 nucleotides) under Streptomyces sp. 322A06. RNAcentral describes it as "bacterial SSU rRNA". It matches the Rfam family "Bacterial small subunit ribosomal RNA", at positions 93 to 671 of the family's 1533-position model. Lineage: Bacteria; Bacillati; Actinomycetota; Actinomycetes; Kitasatosporales; Streptomycetaceae. The record is from RNAcentral.